UAGGUUGCGAGGCCCCAAAAAGUCUACCACGGGCGGUAGGGGGAAUAUCAGGCAUGAUCGAUAAUGGUGGUGAUGAUGAUGCUGCUGGUGAUUUAAACUGGGGAUAAAUUGUAGCCUAGAUGUACUGUACAUAUGUGUGAAUGUCAAGCUUAUAACGCGAGCUGCAGCUCGAACACGAAGAAAAUACACAUGCUGGGUACGGUUUGCAGGGUUCAUGUCAAAAGCGAUAUCUUGAAAAUAAUAAAAGCCGGAAAACGGUAACUAGAUAGACAGAUAGAAUGUGAAUAUAUAGGUGUAUAUUAAGCAUAUAAAUAUAGGAAUGUCGCUUGGGGG
RNAcentral lists this small RNA (333 nucleotides) under Histoplasma capsulatum var. duboisii H88. RNAcentral's name for it is "Histoplasma capsulatum H88 hypothetical RNA". Lineage: Eukaryota; Fungi; Ascomycota; Eurotiomycetes; Onygenales; Ajellomycetaceae. The record is from RNAcentral.